CCUACGGGUGGCAGCAGUGAGGAAUAUUGGUCAAUGGACGAGAGUCUGAACCAGCCAAGUAGCGUGAAGGAUGACUGCCCUAUGGGUUGUAAACUUCUUUUAUAUGGGAAUAAAAUGUUCCACGUGUGGGAUUUUGUAUGUACCAUAUGAAUAAGGAUCGGCUAACUCCGUGCCAGCAGCCGCGGUAAUACGGAGGAUCCGAGCGUUAUCCGGAUUUAUUGGGUUUAAAGGGAGCGUAGGUGGAUUGUUAAGUCAGUUGUGAAAGUUUGGGGCUCAACCGUAAAAUUGCAGUUGAAACUGGCAGUCUUGAGUACAGUAGAGGUGGGCGGAAUUCGUGGUGUAGCGGUGAAAUGCUUAGAUAUCACGAAGAACUCCGAUUGCGAAGGCAGUUCACUGGACUGCAACUGACACUGAGGCGCGAAAGUGUGGGUAUCAAACAGGAUUAGAUACCCUUGUAGUC
RNAcentral lists this ribosomal RNA (460 nucleotides) under uncultured bacterium. RNAcentral describes it as "partial 16S ribosomal RNA". It matches the Rfam family "Bacterial small subunit ribosomal RNA", at positions 338 to 795 of the family's 1533-position model. The record is from RNAcentral.